RNAcentral lists this ribosomal RNA (468 nucleotides) under uncultured bacterium. RNAcentral's name for it is "partial 16S ribosomal RNA". It matches the Rfam family "Bacterial small subunit ribosomal RNA", at positions 28 to 507 of the family's 1533-position model. The record is from RNAcentral.
GAUGAACGCUGGCGGCGUGCUUAACACAUGCAAGUCGAACGGAAAGGCCAGUGCUUGCACUGGUACUCGAGUGGCGAACGGGUGAGUAACACGUGGGUGAUCUGCCCUGUACUUCGGGAUAAGCUUGGGAAACUGGGUCUAAUACCGGAUAGGACAACUUUUUGGAUAUUGUUGUGGAAAGCUUUUGCGGUAUGGGAUGAGCUCGCGGCCUAUCAGCUUGUUGGUGGGGUAAUGGCCUACCAAGGCGUCGACGGGUAGCCGGCCUGAGAGGGUGUACGGCCACAUUGGGACUGAGAUACGGCCCAGACUCCUACGGGAGGCAGCAAUGGGGAAUAUUGCACAAUGGGCGCAAGCCUGAUGCAGCGACGCCGCGUGGGGGAUGAAGGCCUUCGGGUUGUAAACUCCUUUCGCUAGGGACGAAGCUUUUUUGUGACGGUACCUGGAGAAGAAGCACCGGCUAACUACGUG